GCCAGACUCCUACGGGAGGCAGCAGUGAGGAAUAUUGGUCAAUGGACGCAAGUCUGAACCAGCCAAGUAGCGUGCAGGAUGACGGCCCUCCGGGUUGUAAACUGCUUUUAGUUGGGAAUAAAAGGGGGCUCGUGAGCCCCGUAUUGUAUGUACCAUCAGAAAAAGGACCGGCUAAUUCCGUGCCAGCAGCCGCGGUAAUACGGAGGAUGCGAGCGUUAUCCGGAUUUAUUGGGUUUAAAGGGUGCGUAGACGGGAAGGCAAGUUGGUUGUGAAAUCCCUCGGCUUAACUGAGGAACUGCAACCAAAACUAUCUUUCUUGAGUGCUGGAGAGGAAAGUGGAAUUCCUAGUGUAGCGGUGAAAUGCGUAGAUAUUAGGAGGAACACCAGUGGCGAAGGCGACUUUCUGGACAGUAACUGACGUUGAGGCACGAAAGUGUGGGGAGCAAACAGGAUUAGAUACCCGAGUA
RNAcentral lists this ribosomal RNA (467 nucleotides) under uncultured bacterium. Its description in RNAcentral is "bacterial SSU rRNA". It matches the Rfam family "Bacterial small subunit ribosomal RNA", at positions 330 to 792 of the family's 1533-position model. The record is from RNAcentral.